UAUGGCCACAUCAUGUUGAAAUAUUGGUUCCCAUAUGAUCACCAAAGUUAAGCAACAUCAAACUUAGUCAGCACCUAGAUGGGUGACCACUUGGGAAUUACCAGGUGCUGUAA
Acanthosepion pharaonis is the source of this 113-nucleotide non-coding RNA. Lineage: Eukaryota; Metazoa; Mollusca; Cephalopoda; Sepiida; Sepiidae. The record is from the annotation of a GenBank genome assembly.